CCAAAAGCUGGCGACCGGCGCACGGGUGAGUAACACGUAUCCAACCUGCCUCAUACUCGGGGAUAGCCUUUCGAGAGAAAGAUUAAUAUCCGAUAGCAUAUAUUUCCCGCAUGGGUUUUAUAUUAAAGAAAUUCGGUAUGAGAUGGGGAUGCGUUCCAUUAGUUUGUUGGGGGGGUAACGGCCCACCAAGACUACGAUGGAUAGGGGUUCUGAGAGGAAGGUCCCCCACAUUGGAACUGAGACACGGUCCAA
This 252-nucleotide ribosomal RNA is filed under the name uncultured bacterium. Its description in RNAcentral is "partial 16S ribosomal RNA". It matches the Rfam family "Bacterial small subunit ribosomal RNA", at positions 80 to 334 of the family's 1533-position model. The record is from RNAcentral.